UCAGACACCGGUCCCCGUACGAUCAUAGAAGUUAAACAACGCCGAGCCUUGUCAGUACCCAGAUGGGUGACCGCUUGUGAAUGCCAGGUGCUGCAAA
This is a non-coding RNA of Acanthosepion pharaonis, 97 nucleotides long. Lineage: Eukaryota; Metazoa; Mollusca; Cephalopoda; Sepiida; Sepiidae. The record is from the annotation of a GenBank genome assembly.